GGAUGACAGCAAGCAGGCAUCGGCAGAUGCUCUUAGGCCAGAUUCCACACUGGACGUGGAAGACGUGCAGGAGCAUGGAAUCUGGCCUGAGAGCCUCCGCUGAUGCCUGCUUCCUGUCUUCCACGCCAACUUGAGCGUUUCACUACCCUUCAAUACCCAGGCACGGUGGUGACUGGUUUGCACAUCUGCCUCACAGUUCUGAGAACUGGGGUUCAAAUCCCGUCCUCGCCUGUGUGGAGUUUGCAUGUUCUCCCCAUGCCUGGGUGGGUUUUCUCCGGGCACUCCGGUUUCCUCCCACAUCCCAAAAACAUGCGUGGUACCCAUCACCUCCUCCCACAGACCAAGACUCCUUUAUCAGCUUGACAGCAUCCCUCAGCACCGGUGUCCACCAACAGGUUUGGGGAUUGCUGCCAAGACAAGCACCUGCCACCUUAUGACCACACCUCCAAUUCGGCGCAUAAACAAUGGAAGCAUGAAACAUGACCCACUUUGACUCAACGUCCCCCGCCUCCCUCGGGACAUGGUCAAAAUUCUGUCUGAACAUUGUUUUUAUUGUGGACAACCUGUGACGGGCACAGAUGUAGAAUCACAGAAUGCCACUCGGGUUCUGAUCGGUGGGAACAUUCCUUCCAAUCAUACCUUACCAGGUCUCAUUUUCACUGCCCCUGUAAGCAUUGAAACCCCCCAGCAGAAUGAGGGAGUCCCCAGCUGGAGCGCUAUCCAGUACCCCCCCCCUCCAAGGAAAAAGGCUGGGUAAUCUGAAGUGCUUUUUGGUGCAUAUAGGGACAAACAACAAUCAGGACCCCCCCCCCACUUAAAGCCAGAGGGGAGAUACCCUUUUGUCCACCCUGGUGAACCCCAUGUACAGGCACUGAGCUGGGGGGCAAUAAAGUGGGGGCCCCUGUGACUCCCGUCCGGGCAAGGGAAACUGAGGUCCAUUGAAAGUAAUCAUCAUCAAUAGAGCUCUAUUGAGCCAUUCUUUGUCUGGUCCCUCACUUGGGACCCGUUUGUCUCCGGUGAUCCUGCCUGCAGCAUAGAGCCCCAGACAACCUAGCUCCUUGGAUCAUUGGGACACACAAACCCCUCCACCCAUCAGGUACAAUAACAAUAAGGUAACGGCUCAGAGAGGGAGUUGUAUGUAAAAAACAAAUAUUAAUUAAUUUCCCCCUCUCAUGCUGAUAAAUAAGAUAUAGGCAGGUAUAUGUGCAGUAUAUACAGUAUGCAAAUUAUACAUUGAUAACUUUAAUAUCAUCACCAUCAUCAUCAAUAAUUCUGUGGCUGUGUCACCUAAAACUGUUGUCAUCUGUGAAAGAAGAACGUUUGAUACAGCUCAUGUAUUGGAUCUGAUUAGUUUGACAGAUGUAUAGAACUUAUUCCUCUAGCGUGUUAGUGUGUACUGUACGAACAAAUGAGUGAACAUUAGGUUGGAGCCACUGGAAGAGUACUGCUAUCCAUCUAUUGGAAGUGAUUCUGGAUGAGCAACCACUAAAAUAAAUCCAUCAUUUAUUUAUUUUUUUUUUUUUUAAAGAACCUGUCCUCAGUAUGGUCACGAGUGAGCUGAAGCCUAUCCCAGCUGACUUAGAGCGAAAGGCAAGCUACGCCCUGGACUGGUUGCCAGCCAAUUUCAGAAAAAAAUAAGGUGUACGACGAAUUGUAGAAGGUGAACAAAUACUUCAACAAUUCAAGGGAAAAAAGCAAGGAGAAUAUGCUCUAAGCUAAAGCACAAAAUAAUAAAUCUUUUCCCUCAGGAAACAAAUAUUCCUUUACACCUGACUGCAGAUUUUUGUUAUUUUGCAAUUUUUGACAGGAGAAGUGAGUCAGGCACUGUGACCAAUAACGUUCUGUAUGAGGAGAAGAGAAGUGACUGGGGCUCUUUCUUGACAACCUGAAGAAUGUAUGAAUUUCACAGUGUUAGAGAACAGGCUGACACAGAAAGGCUCUUUCUAUUAACAUCUUCUCUUCCCUCCCUUAGUCUGCUUCUGUCUGCUGCAACUGUUCUCAAAGAAAAAACUCACGGUUCAAAUCUAUUGGAAUAAUUUUUGGUGAUUGAGGUCUCAUGGGAAGAAGAUCCAACCAUGAAAGAAGACUGCCAUGUUGGGUAAUUGCCCAACGGUGCAUUCACAGAGAGUGACUUUCAAUUAUUCACUCAAAUUGAGGGAUUAAAAGACAUUCACUUUAAUUCCUAUGUUGAAAACGACCACACAUCAACUGGCAAAAUAUGUUCAGUGUUUAUUGUAUCCUGGAGAUUAAGCUGAUAGCUGCCUCUUCACUUGUCAGGGUGCCUCUUGCUUUGUCAGAUGUUGUAUGACCUGACCUGAUGUCAUCUCUCUUCCAAGGGAGGUUUAAACUGGAGGAGACACAACAUUGGCUUGCAUGCCUUGUAAAAGAGCCAAUAUGCAUUUAAGCACCUGCUUUUUCUGUCUGUUUACAUAACAAAUUCUGGCAAAGCCAACUUUCACACCAAGCGGGAUUCCCACAAACGUCUACCGCUGUGUAAUUAGUUGCUAAAUCUGAAGGUACAAAUUUGCUAUCACUAAAUACUGUAAAUCCAACCCGGAUAAUAAUAAGUGGAAUAAGGUUUCAUAUGUGCUACCAUACCAUGAAAUCGUUUGGGUAUAUUCCAUUACUCAGUUGUGCACAUUUGUGAGGGUGGAGUCUCUGGAGAGCCACAUCAAUGUGGAGGAGCUGCACGAGCCCGUUGGCCUCCACCCACACCUUUCUCAAAAGCACAUUAUAUCAGGAAGCAACCAUCAGGAGAUUAGCAAGAUGUCCGAAAUUAGGUGACAAACAUUUAGAAACAGUCACCUUUAAACCACACAAACCAGUAUGUGGUUUAUAUGUAAUGGUUGGUUUAGCUUUACCUCAAAUUAAAUUUAAUAACUCAAAAUACUUAACUAAAGACACGCAUGCUGAAUACACCAAUUAUUUGUAGAAAGUUAUUUUUCCACUUGUAUGACAGUUAAGAAUUGUAAAAUCAUACUUAAAAAUACCUGUACGGGUAAUAAAGGUUUUAUGGUGGUGACAGUUUUACCCUGGAUUUGGAUUACAUCUGUUUCCUGCUGGGAAGAUUGUUUCAAAAUCAGUAUAGUGUAAGAUUAUGUUUGACUGUAAAGUUUCAACAUCAGUGCAAAUAAACAUUUCCUGA
This is a long non-coding RNA of Phyllopteryx taeniolatus (common seadragon), 3145 nucleotides long. RefSeq lists it as uncharacterized. The record is from RefSeq and is a predicted model, not a curated record. NCBI's taxonomy places the organism in Eukaryota, Metazoa, Chordata, Actinopteri, Syngnathiformes, Syngnathidae. The transcript has 4 exons.